RNAcentral lists this ribosomal RNA (1491 nucleotides) under uncultured prokaryote. Its description in RNAcentral is "partial 16S ribosomal RNA". It matches the Rfam family "Bacterial small subunit ribosomal RNA". The record is from RNAcentral.
AGAGUUUGAUCAUGGCUCAGGAUGAACGCUAGCGGCAGGCUUAACACAUGCAAGUCGAGGGGUAACGGAGAAAGCUUGCUUUCAGACGACGACCGGCGCACGGGUGAGUAACGCGUAUGUAACCUACCCAUAACUUGGGGAUAGCCCAGAGAAAUUUGGAUUAAUACCCAAUAAUAUUUUAAGAAGGCAUCUUCUUAAUCUUAAAAUUCCGAUGGUUAUGGAUGGACAUGCGUAGUAUUAGAUUGAUGGUGAGGUAACGGCUCACCAUAUUGACGAUGAUGGCUACGGGGUCUUAAAGGAUGGUCCCGCACACUGGUACUGAGACACGGACCAGACUCCUACGGGAGGCAGCAGUGAGGAAUAUUGGUCAAUGGAGGCAACUCUGAACCAGCCAUGCCGCGUGAAGGAAGACUGCCCUAUGGGUUGAAAACUUCUUUUUUACGGGAAGAACACGUUUCGUUUUGGAAACACUGACGGUACCGUAUGAAUAAGCAUCGGCUAACUCCGUGCCAGCAGCCGCGGUAAUACGGAGGAUGCAAGCGUUAUCCGGAUUUAUUAGGUUUAAAGGGUGCGUAGGCUGAAAAUUAAGUCAGUGGUGAAAUCUUGUAGCUUAACUACAAAACUGCCAUUGAUACUGGUUUUCUUGAGUAUAGUUGAGGUAGGCGGAAUGUGUAGUGUAGCGGUGAAAUGCAUAGAUAUUACACAGAACACCAAUUGCGAAGGCAGCUUACUAAACUAUAACUGACGCUGAUGCACGAAAGCGUGGGUAGCGAACAGGAUUAGAUACCCUGGUAGUCCACGCCGUAAACGAUGAUUACUCGUUGCAUGCGAUACACUGUAUGUGACUUAGCGAAAGCAUUAAGUAAUCCACCUGGGGAGUACGUUGGCAACAAUGAAACUCAAAGGAAUUGACGGGGGCCCGCACAAGCGGAGGAACAUGUGGUUUAAUUCGAUGAUACGCGAGGAACCUUACCUGGACUUAAAUGUAGCGUGACUUUCCCUGAAAGGGGAUUUCUUCGGAGCAAGUUACAAGGUGCUGCAUGGCUGUCGUCAGCUCGUGCCGUGAGGUGUCGGGUUAAGUCCCAUAACGAGCGCAACCCCUAUUGUUAGUUGCUAACAGGUCAAGCUGAGGACUCUAGCGAGACUGCCACCGUAAGGUGUGAGGAAGGUGGGGAUGACGUCAAGUCAGCACGGCCCUUACGUCCAGGGCUACACACGUGUUACAAUGGCCAGUACAAAGGGCAGCUACCGGGUAACCGGAUGCGAAUCUCUAAAGCUGGUCUCAGUUCGGAUUGAAGUCUGCAACUCGACUUCAUGAAGCUGGAAUCGCUAGUAAUCGCGCAUCAGCAACGGCGCGGUGAAUACGUUCCCGGGCCUUGUACACACCGCCCGUCAAGCCAUGGGAGUUUGGGGUACCUGAAGUCCGUAACCGCAAGGAUCGGCCUAGGGUAAAACAAGUGACUGGGGCUAAGUCGUAACAAGGUAACCGUA